CUACGGGGGGCUCCAGUGAGGAAUAUUGCACAAUGGAGGAAACUCUGAUGCAGCAACGCCGCGUGGAGGAUGACGCAUUUCGGUGUGUAAACUCCUUUUAUAUGUCAAGAAAAUGACGGUAGCAUAUGAAUAAGCACCGGCUAACUCCGUGCCAGCAGCCGCGGUAAUACGGAGGGUGCAAGCGUUACUCGGAAUCACUGGGCGUAAAGGACGCGUAGGCGGGAUAUCAAGUCAGGUGUGAAAUCCUACAGCUUAACUGUAGAACUGCACUUGAAACUGGUAACCUAGAGUAUGGGAGGUGGAGAUGGAAUUAGUGGUGUAGGGGUAAAAUCCGUAGAUAUCACUAGGAAUACCUAAAGCGAAGGCGAUCUCCUGGAACAUAACUGACGCUAAGGCGUGAAAGCGUGGGGAGCAAACAGGGUUAGAUACCCGAGUAGUC
This 439-nucleotide ribosomal RNA is filed under the name uncultured bacterium. Its description in RNAcentral is "partial 16S ribosomal RNA". It matches the Rfam family "Bacterial small subunit ribosomal RNA", at positions 339 to 795 of the family's 1533-position model. The record is from RNAcentral.